This 972-nucleotide long non-coding RNA is filed under the name Homo sapiens (human). Its description in RNAcentral is "non-protein coding lnc-SLC39A11-10:39". The record is from RNAcentral. Lineage: Eukaryota; Metazoa; Chordata; Mammalia; Primates; Hominidae.
UUACUGUGUAAACCCCUUUUAACUGGGUGUUUUGUUUCUUGCAGCCAAAAACAAUCCAUUGAUACACUUGGUGACAUUAAUUGAGAAAAAAACAAUAUGGUCUGGCCAUGGAGGCAUGGUAUCCGUAACAUCCCCCAAAGGAGCUAAAGAAGAAAUCCACAAUUUACCAUGAGCAUUUCUCGUCUGAAGAUUGCCAAGCGAUUCCUCCAGGACAUUCCUCAAGAUCAAUUUCUGUUCAUCCACCUUGUCCUGGGAGGGACAUCAAUGGGUUUCCAUGUCCUUUGGCUUCUGGUUGAGUUCACUCAGUGGAGAACCCUGGCAAGAGGCAGGAAAAGGGGAGGAAGCAGCCUGACCGGUUUGAAUUUCACCUUCUGUUCACCUUGGAUGAGAGCAGUAAUCAUCACGAUCCCAGGGAACAGCCAAAGGAAGAGAAAAGGCAAAAGAUUUGGACAAGACUCAUGAAGACUAACAGCUCUUGGAUAAUUGAGAGAAGGCAGCUGCGUGAACAGUUUUGAUGCAAUCAUGAAGGCAGGGCCCAGUGCCUGUGGCAUCUGCCUUUUUCUGGAACCAAUCCAUAUUUCCUUGUGGUUUUCUAAGGUGCAGAGAGGGCACAUUGGGAACUUUGCUUGGGGUCUUUUUCACAUCUUAGAGGGAAGGUCCCUCAACAUCUGCAUUGGCGGAGUGUGAUCCUCAUGUCCCUCUGAAUGAUCUGGACUUGAGGUAACCAGCCCCUUCCAGGAAGCUGUCCCAUGAGUGAAGCCUCAGCAGCAGCCUCUGUCAGUCCCUCCCCCACAGAACCUUUGGCUUCCAUUUGACCAGCCUUGACAUCCAGUGUCCAAACACCGAUAAAAUUGAUUCCACUAAGCGUGGGAAAGUCCUGGAGCAUCGAUUGUUUCCUCCUCUGCACCCCCGAUACCCUGGCAUUAGCACUCUCCCAGAAUGUACCUUGCUUGUUUGAUUGGAGGAGGUCAA